GAUGAACGCUGGCGGCGUGCCUAAUACAUGCAAGUCGAGCGAACAGACGAGGAGCUUGCUCCUCUGACGUUAGCGGCGGACGGGUGAGUAACACGUGGAUAACCUACCUAUAAGACUGGGAUAACUUCGGGAAACCGGAGCUAAUACCGGAUAAUAUAUUGAACCGCAUGAUUCAAUAGUGAAAGACGGUUUUGCUGUCACUUAUAGAUGGAUCCGCGCCGCAUUAGCUAGUUGGUAAGGUAACAGCUUACCAAGGCAACGAUGCGUAGCCGACCUGAGAGGGUGAUCGGCCACACUGGAACUGAGACACGGUCCAGACUCCUACGGGAGGCAGCAGUAGGGAAUCUUCCGCAAUGGGCGAAAGCCUGACGGAGCAACGCCGCGUGAGUGAUGAAGGUCUUCGGAUCGUAAAACUCUGUUAUUAGGGAAGAACAAAUGUGUAAGUAACUAUGCACGUCUUGACGGUACCUAAUCAGAAAGCCACGGCUAACUACGUG
Molecule: ribosomal RNA, 497 nt
Filed under: uncultured bacterium
Lineage: Bacteria
Description: partial 16S ribosomal RNA
Rfam family: Bacterial small subunit ribosomal RNA
Source: RNAcentral